RNAcentral lists this ribosomal RNA (697 nucleotides) under uncultured Antarctic cyanobacterium. Its description in RNAcentral is "bacterial SSU rRNA". It matches the Rfam family "Bacterial small subunit ribosomal RNA", at positions 28 to 770 of the family's 1533-position model. The record is from RNAcentral. Lineage: Bacteria; Bacillati; Cyanobacteriota.
GAUGAACGCUGNCGGUAUGCUUAACACAUGCAAGUCGAACGGAGUAGCAAUACUUAGUGGCGGACGGGUGAGUAACGCGUAAGAAUCUAGCUUCAGGUUCGGGACAACAGUUGGAAACGACUGCUAAUACCGGAUGUGCCUACGGGUGAAAGGCUUGCUGCCUGAAGAAGAGCUUGCGUCCGAUUAGCUAGUUGGUAAGGUAAAGGCUUACCAAGGCAUCGAUCGGUAGCUGGUCUGAGAGGAUGACCAGCCACACUGGGACUGAGACAAGGCCCAGACUCCUACGGGAGGCAGCAGUGGGGAAUUUUCCGCAAUGGGCGAAAGCCUGACGGAGCAAUACCGCGUGAGGGAAGAAGGCUCUUGGGUUGUAAACCUCUUUUCUCAGGGAAUAAAAAAAUGAAGGUACCUGAGGAAUAAGCAUCGGCUAACUCCGUGCCAGCAGCCGCGGUAAUACGGAGGAUGCAAGCGUUAUCCGGAAUGAUUGGGCGUAAAGCGUCCGCAGGUGGUACAACAAGUCUAGUGUCAAAGACCGGGGCUCAACCCCGGAAAGGCGGUGGAAACUGUUGAACUAGAGGGUCGUAGGGGUAGAGGGAAUUCCCAGUGUAGCGGUGAAAUGCGUAGAGAUUGGGAAGAACAUCGGUGGCGAAGGCGCUCUACUGGACGGCAACUGACACUCAGGGACGAAAGCUAGGGAGCG